AAAAAAAUGGCCUCCACCACUUGAUGGGAGGAGCAGCAAAGUCUAAUUACAAAAGGGCAUGGACACGAGGAGCUUGUCUAUUAUGGGUAAGAUUCUGGAACCCAAAGUUGGCAAAACAAGAUGCUGGUCCUUACCACUGUGAACUAUUUGGGAGAGAGAUCUUUAUCACUUAUUCGGAAAUGAGACAAAGGACAA
Long non-coding RNA from Lontra canadensis (Northern American river otter), 195 nucleotides. RefSeq lists it as uncharacterized. The transcript is spliced from 3 exons. The record is from RefSeq and is a predicted model, not a curated record. Lineage: Eukaryota; Metazoa; Chordata; Mammalia; Carnivora; Mustelidae.